GUUAAUACUAUCAAAGUCCAUUUUUAGAAUAACCACACAUUUAUAUGGGGUAAUUAUUAUAAUUUAUAAUAGUAGCUACUAAAUACACUGAUGUACCUACAAAAUUAAUCCUAAGUUCUUAUGAUAGAAAAUUUAUAAAUAACUGUGUAAAAAUUAGGAUAAGGACAAUAAUAUUAUUCAAAAAUUCACUGGUUUAACUCGGAGAACCUCUACUGAAACUAUUAGGACAUCCGCAUUAGCUUUAUUUUAUUAGACUGCAGAGUAUGCUACGUUUGCCUAAAAAACUAAACCCUACUAUAUGUAUUAUUAUAGGUGCUGUAAAAGCUACUACUAAUCAUUGACUCCCUGUGCUAUCUAAAAUCCUUCCAUCUAGUAUCUGAUGCUCAAUGGCUACUACAAGAUAAUGGUCGAAGUAUACGCACAACCCAUGAAGAUAUUCUUACAAAUUGUGCUUUGAGACUUAAGUCAAAGUAGUCUACCUGCCCCACAGCCGAGGGUUAAAUUGAAAACCAGUUCAGUGGAUGGAAAAAUUAAAGUCUAUUAAACCCUGAUAGACACCAACUGAUCAAUGAUUCAUGCUCCCAAGUAUAUGUUUUCACACUAAAACAAAGAUAAUGGAUCACCUUAAAUUAAAUCCAAUAUGGACAUGGUAGAUAAGAUGUGGAAAAGUGCUAUUCAAAUGGAACAUAAAAAACUCUCCAGCUUAUGACUGUCACCAUCCAUCUCAAACAAUGGAGCAUAUCAUAAAUUCAAUUAUUUUGUGAUUUCAAUAAAUCAAUGAAAAAAAUUCAAUGCCUCGAAUGUGGCACUAACAUGGAGUGAAUCACUGAACAUUACUCUAUGGAAAAGUUAACACAUUACCUUGAUACAGAUGUUACCAUUUUAUGAAUAUUUUAAUUAUUAUGUUUUUGACUAAUUUUAUGUUAUUUUAUUAAUGUUUAUAUAAUUUUAAAUAUUUUAUUGAGUU
This is a non-coding RNA of Cinara cedri, 967 nucleotides long. The record is from the annotation of a GenBank genome assembly. Lineage: Eukaryota; Metazoa; Arthropoda; Insecta; Hemiptera; Aphididae.